UUAGUGGCAUGACUUUUCCAUUAGGUGGUGCUACGGCUUUUUCGGUAGCUCUGCGUAUUUUUCCCAUCUUCGUUAUGUUUGCAGCUGCGACCUGGGAUGCUACAGACAGACACUCAGCGGCAACGUUUAGAUGCCUCCGUUAAACCUCUCACAUCUGGCUUGCCAAUCACAGAAAAAGACGAACACAUCCACCUCAAAUCCGACAGAAAUAAACCCACCUGCUGUGUCAAAAGGCUCCAAAGCUGUCUGCCUUCACAUGUGUUUGCUGAGAUUCUGCACUUGAAGAGGAACUAGGAAAGCAGACUCCUGCAGACAGGCAGCUCAGUGAUGUUGCUUUUCAUGGCAUGAUGGACUGGCCUUAUCAGUGGCCAUUCUGGCAAUGCUGACAGACUGAAGGGGGCGAUCUGAUCUGUUGUUUUGUUUUGAUCUCCUCAGACUUCUUAUCUCCAAGUAAGUUGGUUGGAAUCCAGCCGCAGACGUAACUUCCAGAGAGAAGACGACACGCAAUGGCUACAGGGCAUUCCACACACACCAGAUCCAGGGAGCGGCCCACGUCAGACGAUCAUCUUUCUGCUUCAUACACCGCCGACAGAGCUGUCGUCAGAGGGCUUUACCAGCGGUGUCUGUGAAACCUGAGAGUUGCUGGACAGGCUUCACACUGGGGGGCAAGAGGUGAGGGAGAGAUGGGUUAGUACCGUUGAAGAGGUAAUGCACACCUCAAGUAGUAGGGAAACCGUGGCUUGGUGGCUAGCCACAGGGCUGCAUGAGUGUGAGGAAAGCCAACCCGCGGCCUCUAAGAGGAUCAGAUUUCCUCACAACUUGUUGCCCAAUGCUAUAUAAACUCUGGCAUGCGGUCUUGACACCUGAUCUGGACUAAAAGAGCCGCUGGAGAGCUUCUUUGCACCCACCGUGUCCCCUGCUCUUUCAAGUCCACUGGCCACCUCCUUUAGCCCAGACCAACCCACUGGCAUGGUCAUCCUCACUGGGGCCCCAAGUGGACCUUCACAAUCACCACACAGCUCACACUCAGUCAUCACUGCUCUGCUAAUGAGGCGCUCAAGGGACAGUCUGCCAUCACUAAAGGAACACUGUGGGACCAGGGAGUUCCCUUUAACUACUAAGGGAACCUCCCUCCUCAACUUUAAUGAGUCCCUGAUGUGUGACAGCUGUCCAUCUGCCUGCCAAAUACUCCAAUGUGAACCGAGAUAUGAUAUCAUGUUAGACAGGCCCACACACAAUCACAGAAGUUGAGUGUUGCUCUGAAAUGGAGAUUUAAAGGGCCAGUCCACCAAUUUUACACAUGAAGAUCAGUUUACUUUUCAUGGGGAGUACUACUCAUUAUGUGACAGCUAUGUAGUGUUUUCUGAGGCUCUGCAGGAAGAGGCUCAAAGUCUGAAAAAAGCUCUGAUGAUUAGGGUUAUCUCAUUAGGGUUAUUGAAGACUACUUUUGAACAAAAAGCAAAUUUUGAAAGAGUAGAAUGAAAGAUGCUAUCAAAUCUCAUUGCAUUAUGGCAAAUGUAGAAUCUAGAGUUUUUGGAGCUUGACCCAUACUAAGGACUAAAGUCAGGAUAGCUCAGCAUCUGCUGGAUCUGUUGAAAAUCCCCAAACUUAUGCAAGCGCAAUUCUAAAUCACUGGAGUACCCCUUUGAGGUGUUCGCAUGACACUCAUACUUCUACAUAUGUGGUAAUGUUUAAUA
Molecule: long non-coding RNA, 1697 nt
Organism: Perca flavescens (yellow perch)
Lineage: Eukaryota; Metazoa; Chordata; Actinopteri; Perciformes; Percidae
Exons: 4
Source: RefSeq, a predicted model, not a curated record